AAUUAAUGAACUUGAAUAAGUAUAUGUUUUGAAAACAUAAUAAAGAAGUUUAAACUUCUAUUAAUUU
RNAcentral lists this transfer RNA (67 nucleotides) under Anachauliodes laboissierei. Its description in RNAcentral is "tRNA-Ser". Lineage: Eukaryota; Metazoa; Arthropoda; Insecta; Megaloptera; Corydalidae. The record is from RNAcentral.